UUUUUCAAUCAGGUUGUUUCAGGUAAUCUUUUGCCGAAUAGUCUGCCCUAGCUGACGCUGUGCAGAGAAUACUACGAUUGGAAACGGUUGGUUAGACCCGUUCGCACUGCACAAGAAAGCAAGAUGGACCGUAGUGAUGAGAGAAUCAAAAGAGCUUUAAGGCGCCGCCCUUAUGUGUUGAAUCCAGUGAGGGUGAACACCCCUGAUUCUGUGAUGUGGCCAACCGGUAAGGUGCACAGAAGACCAAGGCCUGUAAGUCAAAUCCGACCUGAAAACAAUUACACAUAAACCUUACUUAUGCUCCAUGUACAAACUGCAGUUAUCACAAUAAAAGCAACUGCAGAUAUCCCUCCC
This 354-nucleotide long non-coding RNA is filed under the name Salmo salar (Atlantic salmon). RNAcentral's name for it is "lncRNA (ENSSSAG00000118343.1)". The record is from RNAcentral. Lineage: Eukaryota; Metazoa; Chordata; Actinopteri; Salmoniformes; Salmonidae.